Molecule: ribosomal RNA, 259 nt
Filed under: uncultured bacterium
Lineage: Bacteria
Description: partial small subunit ribosomal RNA
Rfam family: Bacterial small subunit ribosomal RNA
Source: RNAcentral
AGGACGAACGCUGGCGGCGUGCUUAACACAUGCAAGUCGAGCGAGGCCCUUCCUUCGGGAAGGUGCCCUAGCGGCGAACGGGUGAGUAACACGUGGGCAACCUGCCCCUAGCACUGGGAUAACUCCGGGAAACCGGGGCUAAUACCGGAUAUGACACGGAGAGGCAUCUCUACCGUGUGGAAAGUUUUUCGGUCUGGGAUGGACUCGCGGCCUAUCAGCUUGUUGGUGAGGUAAUGGCUCACCAAGGCGACGACGGGUA